CUAUUGGGGAGAGUAUUUGGUUUGACCAAGUUUUAUAGUAUUUUCGAUUUCUUUCAUCCUGGGGUCAUAGUUUAAAUAUUCAAUUUCAUUAAAAUCCACGGAGACAUUUAUCACAAGAAGUGUAAAUCUGCUGGAACCCCACUCCAAUCCCCACUUAACACACAUAGUUUCUUGACUAAACUUUUUCUUCCCAAUCAUAACAACCUUGGUCUUGUCUAAAUUUAUAUUAAGACCUGAUAAAUAUGCAUAUUUAUCUAGAGUACGGAGAGAUGCAUCCAAAUAUUCUGGUGAUCCAUCAAGUAUAAGAGAAGUAUCAUCUGCAUAUUGUGAAAUGAGAUACUCUGAGUCAUCUAUGGUGAUUCCUUUAAUUUGGUCAUUAUUUCGUAUAUGUAUACCAAGUAUCUCUGCACACAGUAAAAAUAUAUAUGGUGACAGGGGAUCCCCUUGUCGACAGCCUCUCUGAAUGUCAAAAAAUUCUGAGAGAUGGCAAUUUUGAGUGACUGCAGAUUGAAUUUUAGUUUUAUAAGUAAUGAUCCAAUGUUUAAUAGAUGGUCCGAAAUUGAAAAAGUCCAAUACGCUUUUAAUAAAACUCCAAGAAAUUGAGUCAAAAGCCUUUUCAAAAUCAAUAAGGAGGAGAAUACCAGGUAUGUCAUUUCUUCUGUAUACAAUAAAAUAUCAUAAAUUAAUUUAGUAUUUUCACCAAUAUAUCUUCGAGGAAUAAACCCUGUUUGAUAGUUAUUUAUUAAAAGUGACAACAUAGACUUCAAUCGCUCUGCAAUACAGCUAGACCCAAGUUUAUAUAUUGUGUUUAAAAGACUUGUAGGUCUCCAGUUUUUCAUAUAUAUUAUUGGUAUACAAGUGAUUAUUCCCCUUUUUUGAGAUACUGACAUUUCACCCAUAUUAUACCCAUAGUUGAUUGAUUGUAGAACAAAUUUGCCUAAAUCUAUCCAAAAGAAUUUAGAAAACUCACUGGUGUAUCCAUCCGAUCCUGGACUUUUGUUAUUUUUCAUUCUUUUAAUAGCUGCUGUUAAUUCUGAAUAAGAAAUUUUCCCCUCAAGGAUAUCCUUUCUUUCGUUUAUUAACUUUGGAACAUCUAAAUAUGGAAUUUCCUUAUUGAGAUCAACAUUUUCUAUUGUAUCAUUUUUUUAAUAUAAAUCCUUAUAGAAGUUUUUGGCUUCCAUUAAAAUCUGUUCUUGUUUGUUUAUACAAAGACCUUCAUUAUUGACUAGUCUUGGAAUUGUUUUAUUAAAAAAAAUCUUAGUUUCUAAAUUGAGGAAAUAUUUGGAGGAUCUUUCUCCUUCUUCUACCCAUUGCAAUUUUGAACGGACAUAAUGACCACGCAUUUUUCCUUGUCUUAAAAUUUGUAAUUCAGAUUUUUUUUUGGUUGAGAUUUUCAAGAGUUUCUGUGGUUUGUAUAUUUUCUUCUAAUUUUUGAAUUUUUUUUUCUUUCUUUUUAUAUGAUGCAAAGGAAAUUGUUUUACCCCUAAUUUCGGUCAUUAAUGUUUCUAAGAACAGUUGUUCAUUUAUUGUGAAUUGAAUAUCUAAGCAAUCCACUUGAUCUAGUGUGUCUCUGUUGUAUACUAAAGUUGCAUAUUGAUCUUUAACUUGUUUUAUUUUUUCUUUGACAGUUUCAAUAUAUUCUAUAUCAUAAAAUAAACUAUUAUUAGAUUUACAUAAACCCUUCCCAAUAUUGAAAUAAUUUAUUUUAAAGUGUAAAAAUAUUGGUGAUUGAUCGGAUCUAUAGCUGUUUUGAAUUUCUACUUCUUUUAUAUUUUGAUAGAAACUCCGAGAUACAAGAAAAAAAUCGAGCCUAGCUUGCUUCAGAGGAUUAAUUUUUCUCCACGUAUAUCGUUUAUUAUCUGGGUAGAAUUCCCGAAAGGGAUCGAUUGGAUCAUAGGUUUCAAUAAGUUCACAGACUUUUUCUCUUGCUCGUGGAUUAUUUAUAUUUAGGUAGUUGCAAGUACAUGUAUCUAAUGCCUGAUUUUGGACUAAGUUAAAAUCUCCAGUCAGAAUAACUUGUUGAUAGUUAAAAUUUUCGAUUAUUUCAUUGACUCUAUUAUAAAAAGAAGGUGAGUCAUUUUAUGGUCCAUAUAAAUUAACAAGUGUUAUAUUUUUACCUUCAAUUGUAAUGUCAACACCCAGGAAAUUUCCAUUUUCAUCUUUCUAUAUUUUAUUUAUUUUAUAUUCAAGAUUAUUUGCAAAUAAAAUGGUAACUCCUCUUUGAUUGGAGGCAAAAGAAUUAAAAAUACAUUCUCCUCCCCAUUGGUUUCUAAUAAAGGAUUCAUCUUUUUCAGUAAAGUACGUGUCUUGCAGACAGUAAACAUGACAGAGUUUUGAUUUCAAGUAUUCGAACACAUCUCUCCGUUUCUCUCUAGAAUUUAAACCUUGACAGUUGUAUGAGAAAAUUUGUAAUGUAUCCUUAGUCAUUUAAAUAGCUAAGAUAUAGAAUAAACAUUCCAUUUCUUAAUUUCAUUCCCCUGAUUACACGUUGACUCAUACAACUGUCUAUGGAAACACAAAGCUGUAAUAUUGUAUCUGUAUAAACUAGAUGAUGUAUACAUCUACCUUCAUGGAUAAAUAAACCUUGGUAAAACACUGUGCAAACAUAAAAAUCGUAAUAAAUAAAAAAAAGUAAGAGGAACAAAAGUCAAGAUUGUCAUAUAAUGAUAUUUGUAUUGGUGCAACUAAAAAAAAAUAUUGGAUAACCUGUUUCCAAAGAAAAGCGUUAGGGGGGGGCAACAAAUUUAUACCCACUAAACUUAAUUUCAACACUCAAAGGGAGAUAAUCCAAAUCCAAACAUAUUAUCUCCCCUUAAUUGUAGGAUUGCAGAACAUUUGUUUUAGUCAGUAUAGCAACUGUACAUAUGAUUAAUGUGACCUUCUAGGUAGUAUAGAAUGAGACUUAUAGAAUGUGUGAGUUUUGUUUUGUUCAAUAUUUUGCAAUCCAAUAUGUCAUACUGAAGUUCUUUCAGUGUUUAUUCUUAUCAUUUUUCUUAUUUUUAUUGUACUAAUAAACAGGGCAAAUGCAAAUUUACUUUAUAUUUUCUCCUUUCCUCUAUGGUUUACUAUAUAGGCACUACAUAUAUACACGUCUAAACAUGUGACAACUUUAUGACAGACAUUCUCCAUCGGAUAACACGUGGUUAUACAGCUAACACCAUAAUAUAUAUAUGUGGUUCAUAAGUGUUUCUCGUUCCUCGUUUUUUUAUAUAGAUUAGACCGAUGGUUUUCCCGUUUGAAUGGUUUUACACUAGUAAUUUUUUUGGGGCCCUUUAUAGCUUGUUGUUCGGUGUGAGCCAAGGCUCCGUGUUGAAGACCAUACCUUGACCUAUAAUGGUUUACUUUUAUAAAUUGUGACUUGGAUGGAGAGUUGUUUCAUUGGCACUCAUACCACAUCUUCCUAUAUCUAUAUAAUUCGUCUCAAAUUUAGCCUAACAAUGUUAGAUCUUCAAAUUUGCGUUAGCAAAUUUUUGUUCUUUCCUCAGCGGGAUUCGAACCCUUGCGUCUGUGACAUCGUGGCAACACCGCCUGCACCGUGUCCAGCGCCCUAGACCACACGACCACUUAGGCUUUUUAUGUAGCUUUCGGUGGUCGAUGUAAUGCCUUUCCUCGUCGGCUUUAUCUAGGGUUGAGUACAUGAUGUAUAGUGGCAAGUAGAUGGUGUACCUUUCAGAUCAGCUAUUUUGUCUGCCGUAAAGGAUGAUAAUGUUAAUUACCAUAACGCCACAACAAAUUUUAAUUUUAAUAUACACGUCUAAACAUGUGACAACCUAAUGACAGACAUUCUCCAUCGGGUAACACGUGGUUAUACAGGGCUAACACCAUAUAUACAUAUAUAUGCAGUACCUAUAUAUAUACAAGCAAAAACAAAGUUUCAUUCAUUAGACAAAUAACUAUAAGAAGACUGUAAAGUUAAGGGAAUUGUUGCUGCCUUUUGAUUUAAUUUCAUAUGUAUGUCUAAUCAAUCUUUAUAGCUAGAGAUGUGACUAUCAUUAUAUAAAAGUGCAAUUUU
Long non-coding RNA from Mytilus californianus (California mussel), 4012 nucleotides. RefSeq lists it as uncharacterized. NCBI's taxonomy places the organism in Eukaryota, Metazoa, Mollusca, Bivalvia, Mytilida, Mytilidae. The record is from RefSeq and is a predicted model, not a curated record. The transcript is spliced from 2 exons.